AUGAACGCUAGCGACAGGCCUAACACAUGCAAGUCGAGGGGCAGCAUGAAAUUAGCUUGCUAAUUUUGAUGGCGACCGGCGCACGGGUGAGUAACACGUAUCCAACCUGCCCUUCAUAUUGGGGAUAGCCUUCCGAAAGGGAGAUUAAUACCCCCAUACUAUCGCUAUGCUGCAUGGCAUGGCGAUGAAAACUCCGGUGGUGGCGGAUGGGCAUGCGGCGCAUUAGCUAGUUGGAGGGGUAACGGCCCACCAAGGCGACGAUCGUUAGGGGUUCUGAGAGGAAGGUCCCCCACACUGGAACUGAGACACGGUCCAGACUCCUACGGGAGGCAGCAGUGAGGAAUAUUGGUCAAUGGGCGCGAGCCUGAACCAGCCAAGUAGCGUGAAGGAUGACUGCCCUACGGGUUGUAAACUUCUUUUGUUUGGGAAUAAAUGAUACUACGUGUAGUAUUUUGCAUGUACCUUACGAAUAAGCAUCGGCUAAUUCCGUG
Molecule: ribosomal RNA, 491 nt
Filed under: uncultured bacterium
Lineage: Bacteria
Description: bacterial SSU rRNA
Rfam family: Bacterial small subunit ribosomal RNA
Source: RNAcentral